This 1680-nucleotide long non-coding RNA is filed under the name Piliocolobus tephrosceles (Ugandan red Colobus). RNAcentral describes it as "lncRNA (ENSPTEG00000013870.1)". The record is from RNAcentral. Lineage: Eukaryota; Metazoa; Chordata; Mammalia; Primates; Cercopithecidae.
ACUUAAAAAUAAACUUAAUAAUAAACUUAAAAAUAAACUUAAAAAUAAACUUUAUAAUAAACUUUAUAAUAAACUUAAUAAUAAACUUCAUAAUACACUUAAAAAUAUUAUAGUGUUUAAUUUUUUUUUUUUUUUUUCUUUUACAGAUGUAUAAUAUUUUACAUUGUUUUAACACCAUUUCAGAUUUAUCAUAGUAUAUAAUCAUACUUAUGCUAAGUAAACAAAUUUACUAAGUACUCAACCAACUGAAUAGUAAACAUAUAUACAUAACCUCCCCCUCUCGUCCACACACAUACCUACAUACAUAUAUAUACUUAAUAAUUUAUAAUUUUAACAACAUGACAAGUGUUAAUGAAGAAUCAAUAUGUUACAAUAAUCCAGAAAAAAUGGAGGACAUGAAAAAAAUAAUAAUCGAGGAAGUGAGGAAGAAUUUAAUUUAUCAUCAUUCAUUUGGACCAAGAAUGAGCUCUAAAGAUUUAUUAACAUUAAGUCAAGAACAAGAAAGUAAAUUUAAUAAAGAAGUACAUGAUUUAGGAUUACAUGUAAAUAGUAUACAUCAUAAUUCUACUCCUGCAUUUUUAUAUGAAAUGGCAUUAAAAUAUGAGAAUAACUCCUUUAUUACAAAUUCUGGUGCUUUAUGUUGUGUUUCUGGAGAGAAAACUGGACGAUCUCCUUCAGAUAAAAGGAUAGUAAAAGAAAUGAGUUCUGAAGAAGAUAUUUGGUGGGGUAAUGUGAAUAUACCUAUAAAAGAAAAAUCAUAUAGAAUAAAUAAAAGUAGAGCAAUAGAUUAUUUGAAUUUACAACCAAAUUUAUAUGUAAUUGAUGCUUAUGCAGGAUGGGAUGAAAGUAGUAGAAUAAAAGUGAGAGUAAUAACAUCAAGAGCAUAUCAUGCUUUAUAUAUGUUAAAUAUGUUAAUUCCUCCGACAGAUUUAGAAGAAAUACAAAAUUUUAUACCUGAUUUUAUUAUAUACAAUGCAGGUGAUUUCCCAUCUAAUACAUUAACAGAAGGUAUGUCAAGUAAAACAUCUGUUAUAAUUAAUUUCGGAUCAAUGGAUAUGGUUAUAUUAGGUACACAAUAUGCUGGUGAAAUGAAAAAAGGUAUUUUAACUUUAUUUAUGUAUAAAAUGCCUAAAGAAGGUAAAUUACCUUUACAUUCAUCAUGUAAUGUAGGUAAAGAAAAAAAUGACGUAACAUUAUUUUUUGGUUUAUCUGGUACAGGAAAAACAACAUUAUCAGCUGAUUCUAAUCGUUAUUUAAUAGGGGAUGAUGAACAUGUAUGGACAGAUAAUGGUAUAUUUAAUAUAGAAGGUGGUUGUUAUGCAAAAUGUAAAGGAUUAUCCAAACAACAAGAACCUGAGAUAUAUAAUGCAAUUCGAUUUGGUGCUGUAUUAGAAAAUGUAGUUAUGAAUCCAAUAACACGACAAGUAGAUUAUGACAAUUGUUCGAUUACAGAAAAUACAAGAUGUGCUUAUCCCCUUUCAUAUAUUGAUAAUGCAAAAAUACCUGCAUAUAUAAAUAAUCAUCCAAAAAAUAUUAUUUUAUUAACAUGUGAUGCUUUUGGUGUUAUUCCACCAUUAUGUAAAUUAAAUGUAUGUCAGAUGAUGUAUCAUUUUGUUAGUGGUUAUACAAGUAAAAUGGCAGGAACAGAAGAAGGUAUUUUAAAACCAACCGCAACUUUUU